Molecule: ribosomal RNA, 468 nt
Filed under: uncultured bacterium
Lineage: Bacteria
Description: partial 16S ribosomal RNA
Rfam family: Bacterial small subunit ribosomal RNA
Source: RNAcentral
GACGAACGCUGGCGGCGUGCUUAACACAUGCAAGUCGAACGGAAAGGCCCUGCUUUUGUGGGGUGCUCGAGUGGCGAACGGGGGAGUAACACGUGAGUAACCUGCCCUUGACUUUGUGAGAACUGCAGGAAACUGGGGCUAAUACCGGAUAGGAGCUCCUGCUGCAUGGUGGGUGUUGGAAAGUUUCGGCGGUUGGGGAUGGACUCGCGGCUUAUCAGCUUGUUGGUGGGGUAGUGGCUUACCAAGGCUUUGACGGGUAGCCGGCCUGAGAGGGUGACCGGCCACAUUGGGACUGAGAUAAGGCCCAGACUCCUACGGGAGGCAGCAGUGGGGAAUAUUGCACAAUGGGCGGAAGCCUGAUGCAGCAACGCCGCGUGCGGGAUGACGGCCUUCGGGUUGUAAACCGAUUUCGCCUGUGACGAAGCGUGAGUGACGGUAAUGGGUAAAGAAGCACCGGCUAACUACGUG